RNAcentral lists this ribosomal RNA (107 nucleotides) under Acanthosepion pharaonis. The record is from RNAcentral. Lineage: Eukaryota; Metazoa; Mollusca; Cephalopoda; Sepiida; Sepiidae.
UAUAUCAUAUAGAAACACCAGUUGCCGUACGAUCACUGAAGUUAAGCAUCGUCGAGCCUGGUCAGUACCUAGAUGGGUGACCGUUUGGGAAUACCAGGUGCUGUAAG